CAGCAGCCACGGUAAUACGAAGGGUGCAGGCGUUACUCGGAAUUACUGGGCGUAAAGCGUGCGUAGGUGGUGGUUUAAGUCCGUUGUGAAAGCCCUGGGCUCAACCUGGGAAUUGCAGUGGAUACUGGAUCGCUAGAGUGUGUCAGAGGAUGGUGGAAUUCCCGGUGUAGCGGUGAAAUGCGUAGGGAUCGGGAGGAACAUCAGUGGCGAAGGCGGCCAUCUGGGACAACACUGACGCUGAGGCACGAAAGCGUGGGGAGCAAACAGGAUUAGAUACCCGCGUAGUCCCUGUCUCUUAUAC
RNAcentral lists this ribosomal RNA (301 nucleotides) under uncultured bacterium. RNAcentral's name for it is "partial 16S ribosomal RNA". It matches the Rfam family "Bacterial small subunit ribosomal RNA", at positions 509 to 807 of the family's 1533-position model. The record is from RNAcentral.